UACGUAGGUGGCAAGCGUUGUCCGGAUUUACUGGGCGUAAAGGGCGUGCAGGCGGUUUGUUAAGUGCAGGGUGAAAGCCCCCGGCUCAACUGGGGAGGGUCAUUCGAAACUGGUCGACUCGAAGGCAGGAGAGGGUAGUGGAAUUCCCGGUGUAGUGGUGAAAUGCGUAGAUAUCGGGAGGAACACCAGUGGCGAAGGCGGCAACCUGGACAGAUAUUGACGCUGAUGUGCGAAAGCGUGGGGAGCAAACAGG
Molecule: ribosomal RNA, 253 nt
Filed under: uncultured bacterium
Lineage: Bacteria
Description: partial 16S ribosomal RNA
Rfam family: Bacterial small subunit ribosomal RNA
Source: RNAcentral